RNAcentral lists this transfer RNA (64 nucleotides) under Monodelphis domestica (gray short-tailed opossum). It matches the Rfam family "tRNA". From Rfam's summary of the family: Transfer RNA (tRNA) molecules are approximately 80 nucleotides in length. Their secondary structure includes four short double-helical elements and three loops (D, anti-codon, and T loops). The record is from Rfam by way of RNAcentral. Lineage: Eukaryota; Metazoa; Chordata; Mammalia; Didelphimorphia; Didelphidae.
GGUAUAGUAGAAGAAGCAUGUGACUUAUAAUCAGAAGACCUGAGUUCAAGUCCCAGCUCUUCCA